This 200-nucleotide ribosomal RNA is filed under the name uncultured bacterium. Its description in RNAcentral is "partial 16S ribosomal RNA". It matches the Rfam family "Bacterial small subunit ribosomal RNA", at positions 8 to 207 of the family's 1533-position model. The record is from RNAcentral.
AGAGUUUGAUCCUGGCUCAGAACAAACGCUGGCGGCGUGCCUAAUACAUGCAAGUCGAACGGGGAAAGUAGCAAUACGAGUACUAGUGGCGCACGGGUGAGUAACGCGUGGGUAAUCUCCCUCAGAGUGUGGGAUAACUAGUCGAAAGAUUAGCUAAUACCACAUAAGACCACAGGAACUGCGGUUCUAGGGGUCAAAGG